This 992-nucleotide long non-coding RNA is filed under the name Equus asinus (donkey). RNAcentral describes it as "lncRNA (ENSEASG00005034258.1)". The record is from RNAcentral. Lineage: Eukaryota; Metazoa; Chordata; Mammalia; Perissodactyla; Equidae.
UGUAUGUGGGAUGCCACCACAGCAUGGCUUGAUAAGCGGUGCUAGGUCCAUGCCCGGGAUCCAAACCAGUGAACUCCAGGCUGCAGAAGGGGAGCUCGUGAACUUAAACACUGCGCCACUGGGCUGACCCAACUAACACCCUUGCACUCUCCGGGACCAGCCUUGACGUUUUACCAGCUCUGCCAUUUGCUAAUGAGUUGAACACAACCUUCGACACCUAUGUGUUUUACACUUGUCUGUGGGUCAUAUUCUAACUCUGACAGCAGAACGGCCAGGGGCUCAGCGUGGCGGUGAUGUGCGCACGAGGAGGCAUGAGGGGAUUCUUCUUCAGCAUUCACUGUGAGGACCUGGUGGAGCUCCUGGAGGUCAAACCCACAGAAGUGCGGGGUCCCCUGUGCCUGGGCCCCCUGGCAUUUUUAACUCUCACACUCGCCCAUGCUGGGCCCAGCAAUCCCUCAGUUGCAGUUCAGGUUUCUCUCCUGGCACUGGUUCCAUGGAGGUUUCUGCUUCUGGGUUUCUGCUCCGGGAAGUGUGAGUCUGUGUGUCUGCCUGUCCAUCCCUCCAGCUCUGGGGACAGUGGUUUGCCCUGUGACCUCACUUCUCUGACAGAUCUAAGAAGAGCUGCCAAUUUUCCAGAUUGUUCAGUUUUUACCUGUUGUCAGGAUGCAGCGGAAACUUCUAGGCUCCUCACACCCUGAAUCAGAGACUGAAGUUUGGCUCAUUUUUUAAUCAUCCACAAACUUUGCAUCUCUGGAAUAAGCCUGAAUUUGUUGUGAUGUAUUACAUAGAUUAGAUGUAGGCACAGACAUAGCUGCAGAUAAAUACACACACACGCAGAGCUGGAUUCAGCUUAUUCGUAUUUUGGAUAUUUGUAUUCGUUUUAAUGAAUGAUAGGUCUUUAAUUUUCCUCUUAAUUUUUCUUUUGUAGUGUCCUUGUCCUUGCCAGGUUUAGUAUUAAGAUUAUGCUGUUCUUUAAAACAAAUUAAGAAUUU